UGGGGAAUUUUGCACAAUGGGGGAAACCCUGAUGCAGCGACGCCGCGUGAUUUAGAAGGCCUUCGGGUUGUAAAAAUCUUUUCUAUGGGAUGAAAAUGACAGUACCAUAGGAAUAAGGACCGGCUAAUUACGUGCCAGCAGCCGCGGUAAUACGUAAGGUCCGAGCGUUGUCCGGAAUCAUUGGGCGUAAAGGGUACGUAGGCGGGUAAGCAAGUUAGAAGUGAAAUCCUAUAGCUCAACUAUAGUAAGCUUUUAAAACUGCUCAUCUUGAGGUAUGGAAGGGAAAGUGGAAUUCCUAGUGUAGCGGUGAAAUGCGCAGAUAUUAGGAGGAAUACCGGUGGCGAAGGCGACUUUCUGGCCAUAACCUGACGCUGAGGUACGAAAGCGUGGGUAGCAAACAGG
This 402-nucleotide ribosomal RNA is filed under the name bacterium. RNAcentral's name for it is "partial 16S ribosomal RNA". It matches the Rfam family "Bacterial small subunit ribosomal RNA", at positions 355 to 776 of the family's 1533-position model. The record is from RNAcentral.